AUUGAACGCUGGCGGCAUGCCUUACACAUGCAAGUCGAACGGCAGCGGGGGAGAAGCUUGCUUUUCCUGCCGGCGAGUGGCGAACAGGUGAGUAAUACAUCGGAACGUGCCCUGUAGUGGGGGAUAACUAGUCGAAAGAUUAGCUAAUACCGCAUACGACCUGAGGGUGAAAGUGGGGGACCGCAAGGCCUCAUGCUAUAGGAGCGGCCGAUGUCUGAUUAGCUAGUUGGUGGGGUAAAGGCCUACCAAGGCGACGAUCAGUAGCUGGGCUGGGCGGACGAUCAGCCACACUGGGACUGAGACACGGCCCAGACUCCUACGGUAGGCAGCAGUGGGGAAUUUUGGACAAUGGGCGAAAGCCUGAUCCAGCAAUGCCGCGUGUGUGAAGAAGGCCUUCGGGUUGUAAAGCACUUUUGUCCGGAAAGAGAUGGCUCUGGUUAAUACCUGGGGUCGAUGACGGUACCGGAAGAAUAAGGACCGGCUAACUACGUGCCAGCCGCCGCCGUAA
RNAcentral lists this ribosomal RNA (508 nucleotides) under uncultured bacterium. RNAcentral's name for it is "partial 16S ribosomal RNA". It matches the Rfam family "Bacterial small subunit ribosomal RNA", at positions 30 to 523 of the family's 1533-position model. The record is from RNAcentral.